RNAcentral lists this transfer RNA (74 nucleotides) under Thioalkalivibrio sulfidiphilus HL-EbGr7. Its description in RNAcentral is "Thioalkalivibrio sulfidophilus HL-EbGr7 tRNA". It matches the Rfam family "tRNA". From Rfam's summary of the family: Transfer RNA (tRNA) molecules are approximately 80 nucleotides in length. Their secondary structure includes four short double-helical elements and three loops (D, anti-codon, and T loops). Lineage: Bacteria; Pseudomonadati; Pseudomonadota; Gammaproteobacteria; Chromatiales; Ectothiorhodospiraceae. The record is from Rfam by way of RNAcentral.
GCCCCGGUAGCUCAGAUGGAUAGAGCGUCCCCCUCCUAAGGGGAAGGUCUCAGGUUCGAAUCCUGAUCGGGGCA